RNAcentral lists this long non-coding RNA (142 nucleotides) under Bos indicus x Bos taurus (hybrid cattle). RNAcentral describes it as "lncRNA (ENSBIXG00005017453.1)". Lineage: Eukaryota; Metazoa; Chordata; Mammalia; Artiodactyla; Bovidae. The record is from RNAcentral.
CGCUGAGUGGCGGGUAUAGGGUGUCACACCCCUCGGAGCCCCGAGGAUGAGGGGUGAGCGUCCGGGCAACCGCCAAGCUCCUGAGGCUGGCCCACUGACACCAUAGAGUCUUUAUCAGGAACCAUAUCUUUGCUCCGUCACC